GACGAACGCUGGCGGCGUGCCUAAUACAUGCAAGUUGAGCGCUGAAGGUUGGUACUUGUACCAACUGGAUGAGCAGCGAACGGGUGAGUAACGCGUGGGGAACCUGCCUUUGAGCGGGGGACAACAUCUGGAAACGAAUGCUAAUACCGCAUAAUAACUUUAAACACAAGUUUUAAGUUUGAAAGAUGCAAUUGCAUCACCUAAAGAUGAUCCCGCGUUGUAUUAGCUAGUUGGUGAGGUAAAGGCUCACCAAGGCGAUGAUACAUAGCCGACCUGAGAGGGUGAUCGGCCACAUUGGGACUGAGACACGGCCCAAACUCCUACGGGAGGCAGCAGUAGGGAAUCUUCGGCAAUGGACGAAAGUCUGACCGAGCAACGCCGCGUGAGUGAAGAAGGUUUUCGGAUCGUAAAACUCUGUUGGUAGAGAAGAACGUUGGUGAGAGUGGAAAGCUCAUCAAGUGACGGUAACUACCCAGAAAGGGACGGCUAACUACGUG
Molecule: ribosomal RNA, 497 nt
Filed under: uncultured bacterium
Lineage: Bacteria
Description: partial 16S ribosomal RNA
Rfam family: Bacterial small subunit ribosomal RNA
Source: RNAcentral